AUUCACUCCUACCCGCUUUAGGGUUAGUAGAUAGGCUGUUCUCUUAAGCACUGAAUCCAAGUCUUGAACAAGGGGCCCCACCCUCUCAUUGGCCCGAGAUGGAUUAAGUUUAUAGGUUGAACCUUAAACCAAUUGUUCAAUAGUGGAUUAGUGGGACUUAAGGAGCAAGAUGUAAUCUUGGGGGUAAAACGGUAUUUUGACCCAGUCAAGGUUACGAGCAACCUG
Molecule: long non-coding RNA, 225 nt
Filed under: Cucumis sativus (cucumber)
Lineage: Eukaryota; Viridiplantae; Streptophyta; Magnoliopsida; Cucurbitales; Cucurbitaceae
Description: long non-coding RNA (CSAT_LNC002798)
Source: RNAcentral